CGGACGGGUGAGUAACACGUAAGCAACCUGCCUAUUAGAGGGGAAUAACAGUGAGAAAUCAUUGCUAAUACCGCAUAUGCUAACAGUAUCGCAUGAUACAGUUAGGAAAGGAGCAAUCCGCUAAUAGAUGGGCUUGCGCCUGAUUAGCUAGUUGGUGGGGCAACGGCCUACCAAGGCAACGAUCAGUAGCCGGACUGAGAGGUUGAACGGCCACAUUGGGACUGAGAUACGGCCCAGACUCCUACGGGAGGCAGCAGUCGGGAAUAUUGCGCAAUGGAGGAAACUCUGACGCAGUGACGCCGCGUAUAGGAAGAAGGUUUUCGGAUUGUAAACUAUUGUCGUUAGGGAAGAUACAAGACAGUACCUAAGGAGGAAGCCCCGGCUAACUAUGUGCCAGCAGCCGCGGUAAUACAUAGGGGGCAAGCGUUAUCCGGAAUUACUGGGUGUAAAGGGAGCGUAGACGGCGAGGCAAGUCUUGAAGUGAAAGCCCUGUGCUUAACGCAGGGACUGCUUUGGAAACUGUUUGGCUGGAGUGCCGGAGAGGUAAGCGGAAUUCCUAGUGUAGCGGUGAAAUGCGUAGAUAUUAGGAAGAACACCAGUGGCGAAGGCGGCUUACUGGACGGUAACUGACGUUGAGGCUCGAAAGCGUGGGGAGCAAACAGGAUUAGAUACCCUGGUAGUCCACGCGGUAAACGAUGAUUGCUAGGUGUAGGUGGGUAUGGACCCAUCGGUGCCGCAGCUAACGCAGUAAGCAAUCCACCUGGGGAGUACGUUCGCAAGAAUGAAACUCAAAGGAAUUGACGGGGACCCGCACAAGCGGUGGAGCAUGUGGUUUAAUUCGAAGCAACGCGAAGAACCUUACCAAGUCUUGACAUCUGGAUGACAGAGCAUGUAAAGUGCUUUCUCUUCGGAGCAUCCAAGACAGGUGGUGCAUGGGUUGUCGUCAGCUCGUGUCGUGAGAUGUUGGGUUAAGUCCCGCGACGAGCGCAACCCCUAUUGCUAGUUACCAGCACGUAAAGGUGGGAACUCUAGCGAGACUGCCGGUGAUAAAUCGGAGGAAGGUGGGGAUGACGUCAAAUCAUCAUGCCCUUUAUGUCCUGGGCUACACACGUACUACAAUGGCCAUUACAGAGGGAAGCAAUAUAGUGAUAUGGAGCAAAACCCUAAAAGUGGUCUCAGUUCGGAUUGAAGACUGAAAUUCGUCUUCAUGAAGCCGGAAUUGCUAGUAAUGGCAGGUCAGCAUACUGCCGUGAAUACGUUCCCGGGCCUUGUACACACCGCCCGUCACACCAUGAGAGUUGGAAAUACCCGAAGCCUGUGAGCUAACAAUCGAGGCAGCAGUCGAAGGUAGAGCCAAUGAUUGGGGUGAAGUCGUAACAAGGUAG
RNAcentral lists this ribosomal RNA (1385 nucleotides) under uncultured bacterium. Its description in RNAcentral is "16S ribosomal RNA". It matches the Rfam family "Bacterial small subunit ribosomal RNA". The record is from RNAcentral.